Molecule: ribosomal RNA, 304 nt
Filed under: uncultured bacterium
Lineage: Bacteria
Description: partial 16S ribosomal RNA
Rfam family: Bacterial small subunit ribosomal RNA
Source: RNAcentral
CAGCAGCAGCCGCGGUAAUGCGAAGGGGGCUAGCGUUGUUCGGAUUUACUGGGCGUAAAGGGCGCGUAGGCGGACUGAUAAGUCAGGGGUGAAAUCCCAAGGCUCAACCUUGGAACUGCCUUUGAUACUGUUUGUCUUGAGUUCGAGAGAGGUAAGUGGAACUGCGAGUGUAGAGGUGAAAUUCGUAGAUAUUCGCAAGAACACCAGUGGCGAAGGCGGCUUACUGGCUCGAAACUGACGCUGAGGAGCGAAAGCGUGGGGAGCGAACAGGAUUAGAUACCCCAGUAGUCCCUGUCUCUUAUAC